CUAAGCUAAUCGUUUGCUGCAUUUAACAUUUUGCCACGAGGAACUUCAGUAGCAGUCAUUUUCUGUGCCAUUUUAGACGCUGUGUUAUAAUCUUCCAACAACAUGAACAAGAUGUUUCUGUGUGUUCUGGUAUCAUUCCUGGCCCUUUUCGGCGCCUGUCAUGCCAUUGUAUGUACACCAGGCAUAUGCAAUACAAUGCCUUGUACCGAUGUGACGGCGGACGUAUGCAACGGGAAAAUAGUACCCAAGGGCGGUUUCUGUGGAUGUUGUGACGUGUGCAGGACUCUUCUCAAACCAGGUGACGCCUGCAGUCCUCUGGUGCUGGAAGAUCCAGCUUGUGCCGUCUGCCCUGAUGGGUUCGUCUGCGACCCAAAUUCACUCACCUGCAAACCCGUACUUGUGUCGUAAAUGUAGGUUCCAAAGGAAUAAAGUACUUGGGCCACAGCAGAAUGAAAAAAACUUUGGAUAUGAUUUAGAAUGUAACAACCUGGUAGUUACAGCAUCCACACAGACUAGAGAAAUUGUAAAAAUAUUUAGUACUAUUUCUGUUGUUACGUUUGAUUAUCAUUAAAAAGAUUCAAGUGCACAGAA
Physella acuta is the source of this 591-nucleotide long non-coding RNA. RefSeq lists it as uncharacterized. The record is from RefSeq and is a predicted model, not a curated record. Lineage: Eukaryota; Metazoa; Mollusca; Gastropoda; Physidae.